Molecule: ribosomal RNA, 709 nt
Filed under: uncultured bacterium
Lineage: Bacteria
Description: bacterial SSU rRNA
Rfam family: Bacterial small subunit ribosomal RNA
Source: RNAcentral
GGAGGGGGAUAACUACUGGAAACGGUAGCUAAUACCGCAUAAUGUCGCAAGACCAAAGAGGGGGACCUUCGGGCCUCUUGCCAUCGGAUGUGCCCAGAUGGGAUUAGCUUGUAGGUGAGGUAACGGCUCACCUAGGCGACGAUCCCUAGCUGGUCUGAGAGGAUGACCAGCCACACUGGAACUGAGACACGGUCCAGACUCCUACGGGAGGCAGCAGUGGGGAAUAUUGCACAAUGGGCGCAAGCCUGAUGCAGCCAUGCCGCGUGUAUGAAGAAGGCCUUCGGGUUGUAAAGUACUUUCAGCGGGGAGGAAGGGAGUGAGGUUAAUAACCUUAUUCAUUGACGUUACCCGCAGAAGAAGCACCGGCUAACUCCGUGCCAGCAGCCGCGGUAGUACGGAGGGUGCGAGCGUUAAUCGGAAUUACUGGGCGUAAAGCGCACGCAGGCGGUCUGUCAAGUCGGAUGUGAAAUCCCCGGGCUCAACCUGGGAACUGCAUUCGAAACUGGCAGGCUGGAGUCUUGUAGAGGGGGGUAGAAUUCCAGGUGUAGCGGUGAAAUGCGUAGAGAUCUGGAGGAAUACCGGUGGCGAAGGCGGCCCCCUGGACAAAGACUGACGCUCAGGUGCGAAAGCGUGGGGAGCAAACAGGAUUAGAUACCCUGGUAGUCCACGCUGUAAACGAUGUCGACUUGGAGGUUGUUCCCUUGAGGAG